RNAcentral lists this non-coding RNA (74 nucleotides) under Paenibacillus sp. 453mf. RNAcentral also lists the same sequence under 1 other name. Lineage: Bacteria; Bacillati; Bacillota; Bacilli; Caryophanales; Paenibacillaceae. The record is from RNAcentral.
GCGAGCCGUGUGCUGUGAAAGCAGCUCGCACGGUUCUAACGGGGGCUUGAGGGAAACAUGCUUAAUAGUCGGAU